This 397-nucleotide long non-coding RNA is filed under the name Vulpes vulpes (red fox). Its description in RNAcentral is "lncRNA (ENSVVUG00000001246.1)". The record is from RNAcentral. Lineage: Eukaryota; Metazoa; Chordata; Mammalia; Carnivora; Canidae.
GUCAGGGGGUACCCUCGGGAGUCACCGGGGACCUCAGGCGCCGCUAGACCGGCUCAGGGACUCUAGGGGGUGGGGCUACCUUACUAAUGGCCCGUUCUGCCAGCAGGUGAUUUCCUGCUUCUGCCUUGAAAUAAAGACCUCAAAGAUGGCGGAAGACACAUAGUGUCAGAGGUUGGAAGGGCUUCUCAUCUUCUUUGUACAGUGACAUCACUGAGGAAUGUUCUUCGCAGCAAUGGCGGCUGUGCUGUCCUGCCCUCCACCUCCCCAUCUCCAAGCAUCCAGUCCAGGGCAGCAGUCUGAGGGCAUCAUAGGCCUCCUUCUAGCUCUCCAUCUCUGGCUAACAUCAGGAGAAAGCAGAACCCGGUGUCUCCAAACCUGGAUUAGCAUGGCCGUGUGA